UACGUAGGGUGCAAGCGUUGUCCGGAAUUAUUGGGCGUAAAGAGCUCGUAGGCGGUUUGUUGCGUCGGCUGUGAAAUCCCGAGGCUCAACCUCGGGUCUGCAGUCGAUACGAGCAAACUAGAGUGUUGCAGGGGAGACUGGAAUUCCUGGUGUAGCGGUGAAAUGCGCAGAUAUCAGGAGGAACACCGGUGGCGAAUGCGGGUCUCUGGGCAACAACUGACGCUGAGGAGCGAAAGCGUGGGGAGCGAACAGG
This 253-nucleotide ribosomal RNA is filed under the name uncultured bacterium. RNAcentral describes it as "partial 16S ribosomal RNA". It matches the Rfam family "Bacterial small subunit ribosomal RNA", at positions 524 to 776 of the family's 1533-position model. The record is from RNAcentral.